CGUGGGUAACCUGCCCAAGAGACUGGGAUAACACCUGGAAACAGAUGCUAAUACCGGAUAACAACACUAGACGCAUGUCUAGAGUUUAAAAGAUGGUUCUGCUAUCACUCUUGGAUGGACCUGCGGUGCAUUAGCUAGUUGGUAAGGUAACGGCUUACCAAGGCAAUGAUGCAUAGCCGAGUUGAGAGACUGAUCGGCCACAUUGGGACUGAGACACGGUCCAAACUCCGUACGGGAGGCAGCAGCC
Molecule: ribosomal RNA, 247 nt
Filed under: uncultured bacterium
Lineage: Bacteria
Description: partial 16S ribosomal RNA
Rfam family: Bacterial small subunit ribosomal RNA
Source: RNAcentral